AUUGAACGCUGGCGGCAGGCUUAACACAUGCAAGUCGAGCGGAGCGGCGGACGGGUGAGUAAUGCUCAGGAAUCUGCCUAUUAGCGGGGGACAACAUCUCGAAAGGGAUGCUAAUACCGCAUACUAUCAGAUGACCCUAGGUCGGAUUAGCUAGUUGGUGGGGUAAAGGCCUACCAAGGCUACGAUCGGUAACUGGUCUGAGAGGGUGAUCAGUCACACUGGAACUAGGACACGGUCCAGACUCCUACGGGAGGCAGCGGGGGGGAAUAGUGGACAAUGGACGAAGGCCUGAUCCAGCCAUGCCGCGUGUGUGAAGAGGGUCUUCGGAUUGUAAAGCACUUUAAGUUGGGAGACGUUACCAACAGAGUAAGCACCGGCUAACUUCGUGCCAGCAGCCGCGGUAAUAC
This 407-nucleotide ribosomal RNA is filed under the name uncultured bacterium. RNAcentral describes it as "partial 16S ribosomal RNA". It matches the Rfam family "Bacterial small subunit ribosomal RNA", at positions 30 to 526 of the family's 1533-position model. The record is from RNAcentral.